Molecule: ribosomal RNA, 253 nt
Filed under: uncultured bacterium
Lineage: Bacteria
Description: partial 16S ribosomal RNA
Rfam family: Bacterial small subunit ribosomal RNA
Source: RNAcentral
UACGUAGGGCGCAAGCGUUGUCCGGAAUUAUUGGGCGUAAAGAGCUCGUAGGCGGUUUGUCGCGUCUGCUGUGAAAACCUAAGGCUCAACCUUGGGCUUGCAGUGGAUACGGGCAGACUAGAGGUAGGUAGGGGAGAAUGGAAUUCCCGGUGUAGCGGUGAAAUGCGCAGAUAUCGGGAGGAACACCGGUGGCGAAGGCGGUUCUCUGGGCCUUACCUGACGCUGAGGAGCGAAAGCGUGGGGAGCGAACAGG